ACACGCAUGACACACUGCAUAUCAAUAAGCGGAGGAAAAGAAACUAACUAGGAUUCCCUUAGUAACGGCGAGUGAAGCGGGAAGAGCUCAAAUUUGAAAUCUUCAAGGUUCUACCUUGACGAAUUGUAGUUUAUAGAAGUGUUUUCUGUUAGUAGAGUGGCAAAAGUUCUUUGGAAUAGGACAUCAUAGAGGGUGAGAAUCCCGUAUUUGGUCAUUCUUUCUAGCUUUGUGAUACACUUUCAAAGAGUCGGAUUGUUAGGGAAUGCAGUCCAAGAUGGGUGGUAAAUUUCAUCUAAAGCUAAAUAUUGGCGAGAGACCGAUAGCGAACAAGUACCGUGAGGGAAAGAUGAAAAGAACUUUGAAAAGAGAGUUAAACAGUACGUGAAAUUGUCAAAAGGGAAGCGUUUGACACCAGUGUUGUUUAGUUGAAAAUCAAUUCAAUAAUUUUUGAUUUUGAGUAGUAUUGACUUCAUCAGCUUGCUGCUUUCUUUUCAGGAAUUAUUGAAUGCACUUUUCAGUUAACAAGUCAACAUCAAUUUCUUUUGUUGUAAAAGGGUAAGAGGAAGGUGGCUUACGCUUCGGCGUAAGUGUUUAUAGCCUUUUACCUCUGCAAUCGGAGAGAUUGAGGACAGCAGCGUAGACUCCUUCGGGGGUUAGAUACACUUGUGCUAAGCUAUAGCCUUGUAUAGACAACUUGUUGACUAUGCUCAGUCAUGUAGCUUACUCGCUUGUGCUAUUUUACCUACGCUUAGGAUGUUGAGCGCAUGUCUCUCUCU
This 776-nucleotide ribosomal RNA is filed under the name uncultured Neocallimastigales. RNAcentral describes it as "partial large subunit ribosomal RNA". It matches the Rfam family "Eukaryotic large subunit ribosomal RNA", at positions 23 to 616 of the family's 3401-position model. The record is from RNAcentral. Lineage: Eukaryota; Fungi; Neocallimastigomycota; Neocallimastigomycetes; Neocallimastigales.